AGUGAACGCUGGCGGUAGGCCUAACACAUGCAAGUCGAACGGAAGCACAGUAAGAGCUUGCUCUUACGGGUGGCGAGUGGCGGACGGGUGAGGAAUACAUCGGAAUCUACUUUUUCGUGGGGGAUAACGUAGGGAAACUUACGCUAAUACCGCAUACGACGUACGGGUGAAAGCAGGGGAUCUUCGGACCUUGCGCGAUUGAAUGAGCCGAUGUCGGAUUAGCUAGUUGGUGGGGUAAAGGCCCACCAAGGCGACGAUCCGUAGCUGGUCUGAGAGGAUGAUCAGCCACACUGGAACUGAGACACGGUCCAGACUCCUACGGGAGGCAGCAGUGGGGAAUAUUGGACAAUGGGCGCAAGCCUGAUCCAGCCAUACCGCGUGUGUGAAGAAGGCCUUCGGGUUGUAAAGCCCUUUUGUUGGGAAAGAAAAGCAGCAGGUUAAUACCCCGCUGUUCUGACGGUACCCAAAGAAUAAGCACCGGCUAACUUCGUG
This 492-nucleotide ribosomal RNA is filed under the name uncultured bacterium. Its description in RNAcentral is "partial 16S ribosomal RNA". It matches the Rfam family "Bacterial small subunit ribosomal RNA", at positions 29 to 507 of the family's 1533-position model. The record is from RNAcentral.